Notolabrus celidotus (New Zealand spotty) is the source of this 1270-nucleotide long non-coding RNA. RefSeq lists it as uncharacterized. The transcript has 3 exons. The record is from RefSeq and is a predicted model, not a curated record. NCBI's taxonomy places the organism in Eukaryota, Metazoa, Chordata, Actinopteri, Labriformes, Labridae.
CACAUCCAGCUACAUAAUAUCACCCUCUGCUCAUCUGUAAGGAUGGGCAUGAAGAUGGCUCAAGCAUAUAUCGACAUUUGCUCAUACUCAUCAGGUGAUCGUAAACACUGUCAUUCAGUGUGUUUACAUGCACAGUUAAUUGGAGAUUAUUGAUCAUUUAGGCAAUUCAAUUGGACUACUGUCCUUGUGCAAAUGUACAAGCACCAGGUGAAAAUCAAUCAAAGGUUGACCUGUUACAUCGCACACCAAAACAAUCGACAAGCAAGUCAGCAAGAGGCUAACCGGUUGUACCUCCAACAGUGAAAACGUGGACAACCUUCCAGCUGUUCCUACUUGCAAUCUACAAGCAAAGUCUCCAAACCUGCUCUUCAAGUAAUGAAGAGGAUGCAGCAGACAAAGAUACAACAAAGAGACUACAGCUGCACAAAUGUCAGGCUGUUGUUCAAGGAUCUGCCAGAGUCAUUUCACGUGCUGACGUCAGCCUUGGAUUCUCUGGUCGGGAGCUGGAACAUUUUCUUCUUUGUCUUUAAAGGUUUGCCAUCGUGCUUGGAUAUUGCAGGCAGAUUUAACGCCAGCUGUGACACUAGAUUGAAUGUGUGAGGGAAACACUUCACAUGCAGGUAUCCCAUUACCUGAAUGGCAAUGGCCACAUUAUAAGUGUUGUCAGUGAGGACCACCAGGUUUUGUCUGCAAUCUCUCAUAUUUUGCUGCAGGAGGUUUGCAAUGUUUGCCUCUGUGUGACUGCCUUGUCUGCAUAAUGUGAGACAGUCAACAGUCAUCCAUCUAUCUGUUAUGGUCACACAUAAAUCCACUUUCUGUAAUGUCCACAUGCAGAAAGUUAAUGCUUUCUGAAACUUUCUGAAACUUUAAUCUCCCCCUCUCUGUAGAGUUUUGAUUCAGCUGUGUUAGUUAAAAUGUUGUAGUAAAAGAUGUAGUGGGUUCCAGUGUUUUUAGCUUGUAACAAAAGCUCUCACUUUUCAUCACACUAUGGAUGUAAUUUUUAAAACAUGGAGCAGGUGAUGGAUUGCGUUUUCACCUUCACUUGUUCUGAAUUAAAAGCUUUGUCGAGCUCAGUGCGUCCAGUGUUUGCUGUAUUUUUUAGGCGUAGCUGACUUAGCACUAGCUUCUGCCCCAUCAGCUAAUGCUUUCUCUGGACGGUGGCAAAUUGGGUGAGCUUUAAUGUUCACCUUAUUCCCUGAGUGUUUUAUUUUCAUGCCCCGCUUCUUGCAAACCCCAUCUCCUUUGUCUCUUCCUUAAUAAACGUUUGAUU